UGGGGAAUAUUGGACAAUGGGCGAAAGCCUGAUCCAGCCAUGCCGCGUGUGUGAAGAAGGUCUUCGGAUUGUAAAGCAUUUUAAGUUGGGAGGAAGGGCAGUAAGCGAAUACCUUGCUGUUUUGACGUUACCGACAGAAUAAGCACCGGCUAACUCUGUGCCAGCAGCAGCGGUAAUACAGAGGGUGCAAGCGUUAAUCGGAAUUACUGGGCGUAAAGCGCGCGUAGGUGGUUCGUUAAGUUGAAUGUGAAAGCCCCGUGCUCAACCUUGGAACUACAUCCAAAACUGGCGAGCUUGAGUAGGGCAGUGAGUGGUGGAAUUUCCUGUGUAGCGAUGAAUUGCAUAGAUAUAGGUAGGAACACAAGUUGCGAAGGCGACCACCUGGGCUCAUACUGACACUGAGUUGCGAAAGCGUGCGGAGCAAACAGG
Molecule: ribosomal RNA, 429 nt
Filed under: Pseudomonadota bacterium
Lineage: Bacteria; Pseudomonadati; Pseudomonadota
Description: Proteobacteria bacterium partial 16S ribosomal RNA
Rfam family: Bacterial small subunit ribosomal RNA
Source: RNAcentral